AGAGAAUGUUGGAUCCUCAGGAGCUGGAGUUAAAGGCAGUUGUGAGCUUCUCAGAGUGGGUGUUGGGAGCCAGACUGUGGUCCUCUGAAAGAGAGAAGUGGCAAGGUAUGGCCGCUAAGGCCCUACCAAAACAUCAUGUCAUCCUGGAAUGUGGGCUGAAGAGAACCUUUGACCUCUGAACUGGGGAGAAGAUGGAUAAUGGAACUGAGCACAUGGGGCACCAGUGAGGUGGCUUUGUGGAGGGGCAUUGGCUGCUAAGCCCAAUGACUUGAGCUCAGUCUCUGGAGCCCACAUGGUGCACAGACAGGCAAAGUUAACUCAUGGAGAAGCUGAGCACAUGUGUAUUUCCCCAAACUACCCAGCGCCUGCGUGUGGAGAUGGGAGAACGCUUGCCAUGUAAGUCUGAGGA
Non-coding RNA from Peromyscus maniculatus bairdii (prairie deer mouse), 409 nucleotides. The record is from RefSeq and is a predicted model, not a curated record. NCBI's taxonomy places the organism in Eukaryota, Metazoa, Chordata, Mammalia, Rodentia, Cricetidae.